Molecule: transfer RNA, 76 nt
Filed under: Candidatus Endolissoclinum faulkneri L2
Lineage: Bacteria; Pseudomonadati; Pseudomonadota; Alphaproteobacteria; Rhodospirillales; Rhodospirillaceae
Description: tRNA-Ala (GGC) (tRNA-Ala-GGC-1-1)
Rfam family: tRNA
About the family: Transfer RNA (tRNA) molecules are approximately 80 nucleotides in length. Their secondary structure includes four short double-helical elements and three loops (D, anti-codon, and T loops).
Source: RNAcentral
GGGGCCAUAGCUCAGAUGGGAGAGCGCUACAAUGGCAUUGUAGAGGUCAGGAGUUCGAGGCUCCUUGGCUCCACCA